GAUUAGCCUAAUAUGUAAAGUGAUUGCUUGAAAUUUGCAUAAAGCAAGUUAGGAGAAUUUACUAAUUACCACUUUACAUAAUUUAGUGUACAUGAUUGUCACUUUGUCAGGCCAAAAGAUCCACAUCUAAGCAUUAGUUCCUGAUCUAUAAAUUUGGCAUGGGAGUUUGAGAGAAAUAUUUGAACUCUGAUUGGUUUUGUUUAAUCCCAUUUACUGGUCUGGUGUUGUUUUAGCGAUUUUGAUAAUCUCUCGCUAUUUUUCAGGAACAAAAUAUAUGUGCUAAAGGAAGGUCAAGUAUCUACUUGCAGACCAACCCGUGCAGCGAUUCAUGCAUAUAGUGGCUUCUUCUCCGUAUGUGGUGACAGGCGUCGCAAUUGAGGGAGGCAGGACGCUGAUCUCGGUUUACCUGGACGACCUCACCAUCCUGUGUACUCGAGCUGGAUUGGCCAUGCUAUUGCAAUCUCAUGGUGGUGAACAACAGCUAGCACCAUGUCAUGUUUAAGGUCAAGACGACAUCUCCGAGGUAGUAUUUCGACGAACCAAACGUGAGCAUCGUCUAGCCGUGGGAUUCUUGCUCGAUAACAAGACACACAUGCUAAAAUUAAAGAAAGCUCUAUGACGGUUGACAGUCACAUCAACAGUAUGUGUAAAAAAGGGGCUGAUACAGAGGUGGUUGGUAUUUUUCGUGAAUCGUCAAAUGGAAGGACUCUAUUCGGCGUGUCGUCAGCUUCCUUAAUUUGUUGGAUGUAUUUUUUGAAGGCAAAAUAGGACAGAUCAGUUCAUCUUCCGCCGUAUAACAAUGCCUUGCAAUUAAGUUAUUGUGAUGGCAGCCAUGGUAACCUGUCAUUUUAUUUGAUAGUUGGCUCCAAAGUAUGAUGCAAUUUGCAAAUAUACAUUUUAUCCACGUACCUAAUGUGUUGUGUAAUAUCGUCUCACGGGGCAUGUACAAGCUGGGGUCUGCUUUUGUUUAUUCCCGUACUAAUCCAUAUGUGUUCCAUGUAAUAAACCUCUGAGUAGCAGUGUAUCGGUGUGCUGAUGUACCAUUUGAUCACACCUUUGGCGCCUAUUGCAUUUAUCGUCCUCUUCAAAAGCA
Molecule: long non-coding RNA, 1093 nt
Organism: Lolium perenne
Lineage: Eukaryota; Viridiplantae; Streptophyta; Magnoliopsida; Poales; Poaceae
Source: RefSeq, a predicted model, not a curated record